RNAcentral lists this ribosomal RNA (253 nucleotides) under uncultured bacterium. RNAcentral's name for it is "partial 16S ribosomal RNA". It matches the Rfam family "Bacterial small subunit ribosomal RNA", at positions 524 to 776 of the family's 1533-position model. The record is from RNAcentral.
UACGUAGGGGGCAAGCGUUGUCCGGAUUUAUUGGGCGUAAAGAGCGUGUAGGCGGCUUUACAGGUCCGUUGUGAAAACUCGAGGCUCAACCUCGAGACGCCGGUGGAAACCGUAAAGCUAGAGUCCGGAAGAGGAGAGUGGAAUUCCUGGUGUAGCGGUGAAAUGCGCAGAUAUCAGGAGGAACACCCGUGGCGAAAGCGGCUCUCUGGGACGGUACUGACGCUGAGACGCGAAAGCGUGGGGAGCAACCAGG